Molecule: ribosomal RNA, 253 nt
Filed under: uncultured bacterium
Lineage: Bacteria
Description: partial 16S ribosomal RNA
Rfam family: Bacterial small subunit ribosomal RNA
Source: RNAcentral
UACAGAGGUCCCAAGCGUUGUUCGGAUUCACUGGGCGUAAAGGGUGCGCAGGUGGGUUGGCAAGUUCGAUGUGAAAGCCCCGGGCUUAACCCGGGAAUGGCAUUGGAUACUGCUGAUCUGGAGGAUCGGAGGGGGGACUGGAAUUCUUGGUGUAGCAGUGAAAUGCGUAGAUAUCAGGAGGAACACCAAUGGCGAAGGCAGCUCGCUGGGACGGUACUGACGCUGAGGCGCGAAAGCGUGGGGAGCAAACAGG